This 305-nucleotide ribosomal RNA is filed under the name uncultured bacterium. RNAcentral's name for it is "partial 16S ribosomal RNA". It matches the Rfam family "Bacterial small subunit ribosomal RNA", at positions 336 to 658 of the family's 1533-position model. The record is from RNAcentral.
UUCCUACGGGGGGCAGCAGUGGGGGAUAUUGCACAAUGGGGGGAACCCUGAUGCAGCGACGCCGCGUGGGUGAAGAAGCGCCUCGGCGCGUAAAGCCCUGUCAGCAGGGAAGAGAAUGACGGUACCUGAAGAAGAAGCCCCGGCUAACUACGUGCCAGCAGCCGCGGUAAUACGUAGGGGGCAAGCGUUAUCCGGAUUUACUGGGUGUAAAGGGAGCGUAGACGGCGAUGCAAGUCUGAAGUGAAAGGCGGGGGCCCAACCCCCGGACUGCUUUGGAAACUGUAUGGCUGGAGUGCAGGAGAGGG